Molecule: long non-coding RNA, 3949 nt
Organism: Brachypodium distachyon (stiff brome)
Lineage: Eukaryota; Viridiplantae; Streptophyta; Magnoliopsida; Poales; Poaceae
Exons: 5
Source: RefSeq, a predicted model, not a curated record
GCAGUUGACGUAAUCUUCUUUUCUUUUUUUACAACGACGGUUUCUCCAUGGGAACGGUAGAACGGCAGAACCAAGCUCACCUUCGUCAAAUCGUGCGUGCGGUUCAGCUAAAAAAAAUCGUGCGAGCAGUUCGGGACGUCUGCCGCGAGCUCGCCGAGCCCUCCUCCUCCACCGCCUCAACCUCUCCCGCGAUCUCGUCGCUGCCCAAUCCCACCUUACCGCCGGCGACCAGGGUUUCUUCGCCUGCUGAGGAAGCGGCGGCGGCGGCUUCGACGACGACGACUGGGGCGCCUCCACUGCUCCCGCGACCUUGCCGCUGCCCAAUCCUGCCUUCUCGCGGGAGGCCCAAAGCCACCUUCCUUUUCUGCCCAACUCCCUGCUGCCGCCGCCGCCUAGGGUUUCUAGCGCCGCCGCUGCUUGCUGCUACUGCUGCCGGUGCCGCUGAUGUUGCUGGUAGGUGCCGGUUCCGCUGAUGUUGCUGGUAGGUGCCGGUUCCGCUGAUGUUGCUGGUAGGUGCCGGUGCCGCUGUAGUCUAAUCUUGCCGCGGCCACAAGCUCGAGGCCCACUGUAGCUGUUGUUGCCUCCAUUCGCAGCCACCAAACCUGUGCGUGUGUUGCUCGGCCACCACGGAGGGGGAAAAGGAGAUGGCAUGGAGAUAGCCAAUAGCCCUAUGUCGGCACAAGCAGGAGCCGGGAAGAGGGGAAAAAAUACAGAAAGAAGAUUGAAUAAGAGAAGGAUUUUGGAAAUCCCAGGUUCACCAUGCUCAUCUCAUCUCUAAUUGAAGUUUCUCACAGUAAAGGUAGUCCUUAAUUAGUCCCUAGAUUAAAUACCAAUUUACUGGAUCGAAACAGUUGGUGUUUCUUGAUUAGAUUAUUGUCAAGUCUUGCUCGGAAUUGUUUCUUUGUCUACUCUAGAUAAAAGUAACCGGUGUAGUCAUACCUCUCUGCAGGUACUCUCAGAUUUAACAAAAAAAACAGCUACGAUGAAAACUUGAGGAAAGAAGAAUCACGGCUGUGUUGUCUCUCAACAUGUGGGCUGUAAUGUUGGGUCCAUAUGGCAUCCUUUUGUUCUUUUUUUGCAGAGUGGAGUAGAGUUUCUCUCUGAAGAGUCAAGGCGUAUAUAGUGCACAAAGUGUGGUAACUUCCAUUUAUGGAUAUGCACCAAGAGAAGCAAAGCCAAAGUAAGAUGGUGCCAGGAUUGUUCUCAGCACCAUGUUGCCAAGGAUGGUGAUGGAUGGGUGGAAUAUUGAUAUUGAACAUCCUUGAAGCACUUGAAACGGUCCUUGGUCUGCCUGCCGUAGAGCCAUUAUGGAAGAGCCUCCUCCCCAUCUCCGCUGGCAUCUGCUCAGCCUGGAGGUGGGCCGAACUUCCAGGCCUACAACACAUCGAUGGCUCAGCCUCGGCAACCAGGUGAUGGAGCUUGUCGGCAACCAAUUCAUCCAUCAAAAGUUCCUUCUGCUUUGUGGUGACUUGAGGUAUCAUCUUCCUUCCCUGGUAAUUACACUCUUCUUCCCUCGUGCCCGCAAGGUUAACAUUCCUUCUCACUCGAUGUUUGUUGUUGAUGUGUCUAUCGUAUACACCCAUGAAAUGAGCUGACGAGCAAUUUCAGUAUAUUUGCAAUGAUUUUGUAUUGUUCAUUAAAAACUGCAGUGUCUUUUUGCUGUAUUCGGCUUGAUGGCCAAUAUAAGCUAAAUUAAAUGCUCAGAUGGAAAUGCUCCAGGUUGUGAUUCAAUCAAUGAAGGAAAAAAAUGCCAUAAAAAGAUAAAGGCUUGUUAUAUGGCUUGCUUUCUAUAUUUGUUGAUCUCAUAAUUGCCCGAGAGGAUCUCAAUUAUAUCUUGCUAUAUCCUGAAGAAGUGUUGGAUUACUGUACAGUUUCAGAUACCAUGUCAUAAAGAUAAGUGAACUGACAAUAUUGCAUUUGGAGUCAAAUUCACUAAUAACCAUCUAAAGAAGGCUCCACCAAUUCAAUUGAAGCAGAGUAAGAAGCAUAAUUUUUAAGUACGUUCAGGAUUGUACAUCCUCUGGAACAGAAAAUAAACAGGGAGAGAAAACCAUGCACAUCCUAUUUUCUUAUAUGCAUUUGUCCUAUUUUUAGCUGAGGCUGAAAGUAAGCAUCUUGUGGCCAUGCCUUUCCUCUCAGAUUUUUCCUUCAAUCUUAUGCUGGAUUUUCACCUAAAGGUCGCAGUAUUCCUCUAUACACAAACCAGUUAAUUGAAAGCUGAAAUGAUGUGAGUUAAUUAGGUCAGAAGCGGAACUGAUGUGAGUUCAUCAGGUUUUCCUGUUAGUUGGCUUGCCCAACAGAAACAAAAUUUUGAUAAUUGGGAUCGGGGAAGGGGGACAUAUUUGAAGAUUCUAAUAUUUGUCUCUGCACAAAUAUAAGUAAGAAGCUCUUAUCUCUCCCAUUAUUUCAUUCCUAUAGAAGGUUUGUUUUCAUAAACUUUUAUAACUUACAAGUACUAGUGUUUAGCUAGCGCAAUAUAAAAAUGUUAAUAGUACAUACACAAUAUUGCUUCUGUCUUGCAAUGUAGCCCUUCAUAUUAUGACUGCAUUCCAGGAAGUGUAUGUGCUCAGUCACCAUCUUUCGUAUUAGAACCCAUGUUUAAAUGGUCAAUUCUCGUUCCAAACAAUUAUGGAUCUAUCCAAACUAAUUAUGGAUCUAGAUGAGGAGAGAUCGCAAAACCAGAGAUAUUGUUUAUGAUUCAUGGUUCUCACAAUUUUGUUUCCGCCUUUAGAAAUCUGAUCUUUUAUCUAAAAGGUUACUGGCAUCUCUUAGCUGACUAUAUAUGUCACGAACUUGGGCUUUGUUGUAGAACUAAAGAACUGCAACAUGUCACAAGCUGCUAACAGCUGAGUCACCCAAACUAUAAGUGAACUUGACGGCACUAUCGUUUGCAUGUAAUAAAUCUUCCUGUUACUACAGAUUCCUAGAAACUACAGAUUUGGCUGAUCAAUGGUUUCUUAUUAAACCUUCUUGUGUAACUCAUGUUCUCCAUGUAAUCUUCUGAAAGAAUUAUGAGAGCUGAUGUGCUUUUUUUUUCCAAACAGUAGAAGGGCGAGGAAGAGCAGUUGCUAGAAGCUUGUCAGCGACCAAUACAUGCAUUAGAAGUUUCUUCUCCGUUAUUUCUUUCUUUCUUUCUGAAUUUCUCUGUGUUAUGUAUUUCUUGUGCACUUUUCUACGGUAUUGUGUUGUAUUAUGGAUUACAGUGUAUAUCCUGAAAACUGGAAUGGAUUCUUAUCUUUACUUUGCCUUCAUAUAUGGACAUUACGACAAGCACUUGAUUAGCCAGCCACAAGCAAUGCUCUUUUAAUGCGCAUGAUUAGCUAAUCAUCCUAAUGACUUGCACUUGGGUCCUAGAUUGGCUUGUCUUAUUUAUUUAUUUUGGUUUUUAGUACAACACAUUGUGAAAUAUGAACUCAAUUGAAUAUUUAUGUAUUUUCAGAGCUAUGCUACAGAAAAAUAGAUAGUAUUAGGCACUUUUCUGAAUCUUCAAUUGAAUAUGAUCAAGUUUAACUCAAACAUGAACACCUCACUACGACGGCAAAGAGAGUCGGCUUCGUUGUAGUAUUGAACCGUCAAAGGAGAAUCAGUAUACGGCCGAAGAUCUCUCCUACCUCAUCUUCCAUGAUUUGAACGAAGUUAGGCCUUUACCUGAUUCUCUGGAGAAGUCCAGGCCCAUGAUAACCCACAUGUGAAAAACUUUCGAUGAGAAUAUCCUCAAAAUUGCACUUGCAGAAUAUUGCUUCUUCCAGUGUCCAUGUCCAUGUAAUGUAUUUUUCUUAUGAAUGGUUCUUUUGUAUUGGCAAACGUGCAAGGAAACAUAUCUUCAAAAAUUUUGUAGUGCUUGAAUGAUGAAUGGCUUCAACGUUGCCUUCUCUUAGAUUUUUUUCGUCGAGGGGAAUCAUCUGAUUAAUUAAUCGUUGUUUCAUUUGAUUUGAGAGAUGUAUUGAGA